AGUUCUGUAGUGUAGUGGUUAUCACGUUCGCUUUACACGCGAAAGGUCCUCGGUUCGAGCCCGGGCAGAACUA
This 73-nucleotide transfer RNA is filed under the name Hydra vulgaris (swiftwater hydra). It matches the Rfam family "tRNA". Rfam says of the family: Transfer RNA (tRNA) molecules are approximately 80 nucleotides in length. Their secondary structure includes four short double-helical elements and three loops (D, anti-codon, and T loops). The record is from Rfam by way of RNAcentral. Lineage: Eukaryota; Metazoa; Cnidaria; Hydrozoa; Anthoathecata; Hydridae.